This 252-nucleotide ribosomal RNA is filed under the name uncultured bacterium. RNAcentral describes it as "partial 16S ribosomal RNA". It matches the Rfam family "Bacterial small subunit ribosomal RNA", at positions 524 to 776 of the family's 1533-position model. The record is from RNAcentral.
UACGGAGGAUGCGAGCGUUAUCCGGAUUUAUUGGGUUUAAAGGGUGCGUAGGCGGACGCUUAAGUCAGCGGUAAAAUUGCGGGGCUCAACCUCGUCGAGCCGUUGAAACUGGGUGCCUUGAGUGGGCGAGAAGUACGCGGAAUGCGAGGUGUAGCGGUGAAAUGCAUAGAUAUCACGCAGAACUCCGAUUGCGAAGGCAGCGUACCGGCGCCCAACUGACGCUGAAGCACGAAGGCGUGGGUAUCGAACAGG